GGUCAAGUUAAUAAGGGCGCACGGUGAAUGCCUUGGCACUAGGAGCCGAUGAAGGACGUGAUAAGCUGCGAUAAGCUGCGGGUAGGCGCAAAUAGCCUGUGAUCCGCAGAUUUCCGAAUGGGGAAACCCAUCUAGCUAA
Molecule: non-coding RNA, 139 nt
Organism: Clostridium homopropionicum DSM 5847
Lineage: Bacteria; Bacillati; Bacillota; Clostridia; Eubacteriales; Clostridiaceae
Source: Rfam